CCUUGCGCUGAUUGAGCGGCCGAUAUCAGAUUAGCUAGUUGGUGGGGUAAAGGCCUACCAAGGCUACGAUCUGUAGCGGGUCUGAGAGGAUGAUCCGCCACACUGGAACUGAGACACGGUCCAGACUCCUACGGGAGGCAGCAGUGGGGAAUUUUGGACAAUGGGCGAAAGCCUGAUCCAGCCAUGCCGCGUGUCUGAAGAAGGCCUUCGGGUUGUAAAGGACUUUUGUCAGGGAGCAAAACUUACUGGUUAAUACCCCGGUGAGGCUGAGAGUACCUGAAGAAUAAGCACCGGCUAACUACGUGCCAGCAGCCGCGGUAAUACGUAGGGUGCAAGCGUUAAUCGGAAUUACUGGGCGUAAAGCGUGCGCAGGCGGACCUUUAAGCCAGAUGUGAAAGCCCCGAGCUUAACUUGGGAAUUGCGUUUGGAACUGGGAGUCUAGAGUCUGUCAGAGGGGGAUGGAAUUCCACGUGUAGCAGUGAAAUGCGUAGAGAUGUGGAGGAACACCGAUGGCGAAGGC
Molecule: ribosomal RNA, 520 nt
Filed under: uncultured bacterium
Lineage: Bacteria
Description: bacterial SSU rRNA
Rfam family: Bacterial small subunit ribosomal RNA
Source: RNAcentral